This 594-nucleotide ribosomal RNA is filed under the name uncultured bacterium. RNAcentral's name for it is "bacterial SSU rRNA". It matches the Rfam family "Bacterial small subunit ribosomal RNA", at positions 793 to 1388 of the family's 1533-position model. The record is from RNAcentral.
GUCCACGCUGUAAACGAUGAGUGCUAAGUGUUGGAGGGUUUCCGCCCUUCAGUGCUGCAGCUAACGCAAUAAGCACUCCGCCUGGGGAGUACGACCGCAAGGUUGAAACUCAAAGGAAUUGACGGGGGCCCGCACAAGCGGUGGAGCAUGUGGUUUAAUUCGAAGCUACGCGAAGAACCUUACCAGGUCUUGACAUCUUUCGCCAANNUAAGAGAUUAGGCGUUCCCUUCGGGGACGGAAUGACAGGUGGUGCAUGGUUGUCGUCAGCUCGUGUCGUGAGAUGUUGGGUUAAGUCCCGCAACGAGCGCAACCCUUGUUAUUAGUUGCCAGCAUUCAGUUGGGCACUCUAGUGAGACUGCCGGUGACAAACCGGAGGAAGGUGGGGAUGACGUCAAAUCAUCAUGCCCCUUAUGACCUGGGCUACACACGUGCUACAAUGGACGGUACAACGAGUCGCGAAGUCGCGAGGCCAAGCAAAUCUCUUAAAGCCGUUCUCAGUUCGGACUGUAGGCUGCAACUCGCCUACACGAAGUCGGAAUCGCUAGUAAUCGCGAAUCAGCAUGUCGCGGUGAAUACGUUCCCGGGCCUUGACAC